GAUGAACGCUGGCGGCGUGCCUAACACAUGCAAGUCGAGCGGAGACCCCCGAAUCAGAAAUGGGGAGGGGAUCUUAGCGGCGGACGGGUGAGUAACACGUGAGCAAUCUGCCUUCAGCAGGGGAAUAACAUUGUGAAAACAGUGCUAAUACCGCAUGACAUGCCGUCGGGGCAUCCCGGGGGCAUCAAAGGAGCAAUCCGGCAGGAGAUGAGCUCGCGUCCGAUUAGGUAGUUGGUGAGGUAAAGGCCCACCAAGCCGACGAUCGGUAGCCGAACUGAGAGGUUGAUCGGCCACAUUGGGACUGAGACACGGCCCAGACUCCUACGGGAGGCAG
RNAcentral lists this ribosomal RNA (334 nucleotides) under uncultured Bacillota bacterium. RNAcentral describes it as "bacterial SSU rRNA". It matches the Rfam family "Bacterial small subunit ribosomal RNA", at positions 28 to 351 of the family's 1533-position model. Lineage: Bacteria; Bacillati; Bacillota. The record is from RNAcentral.